Molecule: long non-coding RNA, 982 nt
Filed under: Androctonus crassicauda
Lineage: Eukaryota; Metazoa; Arthropoda; Arachnida; Scorpiones; Buthidae
Source: RNAcentral
GCAAAAAGAUGAAAGUGGAAUAAAAAAAGAUAUGUAAAGACUUUACUGAAGUUAAUGUUUUUUUCCCGAUAGAUGACGCCACUUUCCACUAUGUUGAAUAUUAAAUGGCGGGAGCGAAAAGGGGUCUUACCAGAGACUGCCCACCUCGGUGGAGAGAGAAGCAGAAUUGUAGAGAAUGAGGAUUGACAACCGGAUUCGGAUCCUUGAAUAAAAUUUUCCAAAGGAUGGGGUGGGACCUAGAACAGAAUUCUUCGGCUCCUCUGAGAAAGCCGAAGAGUUUCCACGUGUCAAAUCCAGUCGACUAACAUUUACAGUUAAUUUUAACUAUGCUUCUCCAAUUUUACAAGAUAUACAGCACUGUAUUUAUAUGCCAGCAGCUAUUUCAGAGCCUAUUAUGAAUUAAUCACCAUCUUUGAUGACUAACCGGAAGGCUGAAGAAUAAGGUCCAAUGCGUUCGAAAAUAAAUUUGAGCGACAGUGAAUUGAUUUCUGCCUCAAGUUGAAUCCUGCCGCCGCUCCAACUGAUACAUUUGAAUUUUUAACAAUUGAACUUUUCCUAAAUACUUAUAAAUUGAAACAGAAUGACCAACAAAUCAAUCUAAUAAAAAUGGAUCAAUGCAUACAGAAUGUUGAAUCUAUUGUGGAAUUAAUCUGAUCUCUAUAGAGAUUUUAAUGCGUUAAAGUUUUGUUUGAAUUUUAGUUAAGCCGCCAUAUUGCACAUGAUAUAUAUUGUACUAUAUCUAGUAGUGGCUAUUUUUAGCGCUCAUUACGAAGUGGCUAAUAUUCAUGACGGAUUAGGUUAUUGCACGAGGGAUAUACUGUAUCUGGCUGCUGCCGCUUAUAAAAUUCAUCGGGGACUGGUCAAUACCCAUGAUGGGGUUAGCCGGAUGGUUGAAGGAUGGGAUUCAAUGGACCGGGCCCAAAUUCCUCCUGAAAAACUGGAGGUGUGGGACUGGAAUUUGAGCCCGGACCAUACAGGAUGG